This is a long non-coding RNA of Homo sapiens (human), 10220 nucleotides long. RefSeq lists it as uncharacterized. The transcript is spliced from 2 exons. The record is from RefSeq and is a predicted model, not a curated record. NCBI's taxonomy places the organism in Eukaryota, Metazoa, Chordata, Mammalia, Primates, Hominidae.
GCUCCUUGUAUGUCUUUUGUUUUUGAGAAGUGUCUGUUCAUGUUCUUUUGCCCACUUUUAGAUGAGAUUAUAUGUGUUUUGCUUGUUAAGUUGUUUAAGUAUAUUACAGAUUCUGGAUAUUAAACCUCUGUUGGAUGCAUAAUUUGCAGAUAUUUUCUCCAAUACUGUGAGCUGUCUGUUUACUCUGCUUUUCAUUUUGCUGUACGAAAGCUCUUUAUUUAAUUAGGUCUCACUUGUCAAUUUUUGGCUUUGUUGCAGUUGCUUUUGAGGACUUAGUCAUAAGUUCUUUGCCAAUCCUGUUAUCUACAAUGUUAUUUUCUAGGUUUUCUUUUAUGAUUUUUAUAGCUUGAGAUUUUACAUUUAAAUCUUUAAUCCCAUCUUGAGUUAGUUUUUCUAUAUGGUGAAAAGUAGGGGGACAGUUUCAUUCUUCUGCAUAUGACUAUCCAGUUAUCUCAGCACCAUUUAUUACAUAUGGAGUUCUUUCCUUAUUGCUUAUUUUUGUUGACUUUGUCAAAGGUCAGAUGGCUGUAGGUGUGCAGCUUGUUUCUGGGUUCACUUUUCAGAUCUAUUAUUCUGUCUGUCUGUUUUUGUACCAAUAUCAUGCUGUUUUGAUUACUGUAGCCAUGUAGUGUAGUUUGAAGUCAGGUAGUGUGAUGCCUCUGGCUUUGUUCUUUUUGCUUAGCAUUGCUUUGGCUAUUCAGGCUCUCUUUUGGUUCAAUAUGAGUUUUAGAAUAAUUUUUUAUAAUUCUGUGAAAAAAGACAUUGAUAGUUUGAAGGAAUAGUGUUGAAUCUGCAGAUUACUUUGAGCAGUAUGGACGUUUUAAUGACAUUAAUUCUUUCAGUCUAUGAGCAUGGAAUGUUUUUCCAUUUGUGUCAUCUCUGAUUUUUUUCAGCAGUGUUUUGUAGUUCUCCUUGUAGAGAUAUUUUAUAUCCUUAGUUGGUUGUAUUCCUAGGUACUUUUUUGUGUGGGUGGGUAUUGUAAGUGAGAUUAUGUCCUUGAUUUGGCUCUCAGCUUGAACCUCUUUGGUGUAUAGAAAUGGUACUGAUUUUUAUAUGCUGAUUUUGUGUCCUGAAACUUUACUAAAGUUGUUUAUCUGGUCUAGGAGCCUUUGGCAGAGGCUUUAGGGUUUUCUAGGCAUAGAAUCAUAUUGUCUGCAAAACUGAGAUAGUUUGACUUGCUCUUUUCCUAUUGAUGCGUUUUAUUCUUUCUCUUGCCUGAUUGCUCUGGCUAGGACUUCCAACACUAUGUUGAAUAGGGUUGGUAACAGGAUCCUUGUCUUGUUCCAGUUCUCAUGGGGAAUACUUCCAGCUUUUGCCCAGUCAGAAUGAUGUUGACUGUAGAUUUUUUAUAGAUGACUCUUAUUUUUUUGAUGUAUGUUCCUUCAAGGGCUUAUUUGUUGAGGUUUUAUAAUGAAGGGAGGUUGGAUUUUAUCAAAAGCCUUUUAUACUUCUAUUAAGAUGAUCAUACAGUUUUGGUUUUUAAUUCUGGUUUUGUGGUGAAUCACAUUUAUUUAGUUUUGUGUGUUGAACCAACUGGCAUCUCAGGAAUAAAGCCUACUUGAUUGUGGUGACUUAACUUUUUGAUAUGCUGCUGGAUUUCAUUUGGCAGUUUUUUUUCUUUUUUUGAGGAUUUUUGUGUCUAUGUUUAUCAGGGAUAUUGGCCUGUAGUUUCUUCUUCUUUUUUUUUUUUUUUUUAAGACAAAGUCUCACUCUGUCGCCAAGGUUGGAGUGCAGUGGCGCAAUUUCAGCUCACUGCAACCUCCGCCUCCUGGGUUCAAGGGAUUCUCCUGCCUCAGCCUCCUGAGUAGCUGGGACUACAGGCUAGUUUUCUUUUUACAUUGUGCCUUUAUCAGUUUAUGGUAUCAGGGUGAUACUAGCUUCAUAGUAUGAGUUAGGCAGGAGCCCAUCCUCCUCCAUUUUUUGAAAUAGUUUCAAUAGAAUUAGUACGAGCUCUUCUCUGUACAUGUAGUAAAAUUCAGCUGUGAAUCCAUCUGAUCCAGAGCUUUUUUGUAUGUAGGUUUUUUUGACUAAUUCAAUUUUGUAACUGGGUAUUGGUAUGUUCAAUGUUUCAAUUUCUUCCUGAUUCACUGUUGGGGCUUGUGUGUUUCCAGGAAUUUAUCCAUUUCUUCUAGAGUUUCUAGUUUGUGUGCAUAGAGGUGUUCAUAAUAUUCUCUGAGAAUCUUUUGUGUUUCUGUGGAAUUGGUUGUAAUAUCACCUUUGUUGUUUCAAAUUGCACUUUUUUGGAUCUUCUCUUUUAUUUGUUAAUCUAGCUAGCAGUCUAUCUGUCUUGUUUCGUCUUUCAGAGAGCCAACUUUUGGGUUCAUUGAUGCUUUGUAUGGAUUUUGGGGUCUGAAUUUCAUUCAAUUCUGCUCUUAUUUUAAUAAUUUCUUUUCUUCUGCUAGCUUUGGAGUUAGUUUAUUCUUAGUUUUCUAGUUCCUCUAGAUGUGAUACCAAACUGUAAAUUUGAGAUCUUCCUAACUUCUUGAAGUAGAUGUUUAGAGCUAUAAAUUUUCCUGUCAACACUGUUUUUGCUUCAUCCAAGAGAUUUUGCUAUGUUGUGUUGACUGUUCGUUUCUUUCAAAGAAUUUUUUACUUUCUGCCUUAAAUUCAUUGUUUACCCAAAAAUUGUUCAGAGAAAAGUAGUUUAAUUUCCAAGUAAUUGUGUGGUUUUCAGAUACCUUCUUGGUUUUGAUUUUAUUUGUAUUCCACUGUGGUCAGAGCAUAUGGUGGGUAUGAUUUCUAUUUUUUCUAAUCUGUUGAGACUUGCUUUAUGGCUGAGCACUAUUGUGUGGUGGGCUAAGGCUUUUCAUAGAUAUAGGAGUAUUUGUAUUAUUAAUGUGGGUGCUCCGAUGUUGGGUGCACAUAUACUUAGGAUUAUUAAAUCUUCUUGUUGAAUUGAACCUUUCAUCAUUAUAUAAUGUCCUUCUUUUUCCUAUUUUAUUAUUGCUGGCUUAAAGUCUGUUUUAUCUGAUAUAAAAAUAGCAAUGAUAUAAAAAUAGCAACCCCUGUUCUUUUUUGUUUUCCAUUUUCAUGAUAGAUCUUUCUUUCUCCAGUUCUUUACUUUGAGCCUGUAAGUGUCAUUUCCUGUGAGAGGGGUCUCUGGAAGACAGGAGACAGACUUUUUAAUCCAGUUUACCACUCUCUGUGUCUUCUUAGUGAAGCAUUUAGACUAUUUUCACUCAAGGUUAAUAUUGUCAUGUGUGGUUUUAAUCCUAUGGUGAAAUUAUUAACUGGUUGCUUUGUAGUUCCUGUUAUAUAAUUGCUCUAUAGGGUCUGUGAACUAUAGACUUACAUGUAUUUUUGUGGUAGCAGGUAUUGUUAUUUUGUUUCCAUUUUUAAAAUUCCCUUAAGGACCUCUUUUAAGCCUGGUCUAAUGGAGAUACAUUCUCUUAGCGUUUUUUUAUUGUUGGGGGUGUCUGGAAAACAUUGUAUUUUUACUUUGCUUAUAAAGCUUAGUUUGAUGGGAUAUGGAAUUCUUGGUUGAAAUUUCUUUCCCUUAAGGAUGCUGAAAAUAGGCCCCCAAUCUCUUCUGGCUUGUAAUAUUUCAGCUGAGACAUAUGCUUUUAAAUUGAUGGGAUUCCAUUUGUGCAUGGUCUGAACUUUUUCUCUAGCUGCCUUUAAGAUUUUUUCUUUAGCAUUGUCCUUGGGCAGUUUAAUGACUAUAUGCCUUGAUGAUGUUCUUUUUGUAUGGUAUCUCACAGGUGUUCUCUGGAUUUCUUGUUCCUGGGUGUCUACCUCUUUAAAAAUACUAGGGACACUCUUUGUACUAUUGCUUCAAAUAUGUUUUCCAGAUUGUUUACUUUUUCUCCUCCUCUCUCAGGAAUGCCAGUAAUUUAUAAAUUUGUUUGCUUUACAUAAUCCCAUAUUUUUCAGACUUUGUUCAUUAAAAUUUUUUUUCUUUAUUUUAGUCUGACUUGAUUAAUUCAAAAGACUAGUCUUCUAGCUCUGUAAUUCUUUUUCUGUUUGGUGUAGUAUAUUGAUAAAACCUUCAAUUGUAUUUUGAAAUUCUUUAAUUGAAUUUUUCAAUCCUGGAAGCUCUGACUGAUUUUCUUUAAAGAUGUUUAUCUCCUUCUUCAUUUCCUGGAUUUCUUCAGAAAUUUCUUUUUCUUUUUCUUUUUUUUUUUUUUUUUGGCUUUCAUCCUUGUCUUGAAUCUUGUUGAGCCUCCUUGCAAUCCAAGCUUUGCAUUCUUAAUCCGUCAUUUCUGAGUGUCUGUUUUAGUCAGGGACCAUUGCUGGAGAUCUAGUGUGAUCCUUUGGUGGAGUCACAAUAUUCAGAUUUUUCAUGGUAUGAGAAAAGUUGCACUGGUUCUUUCUCAUCUGGAGACACUGGCACUUCUAAUUUUUGUAAUUAUUAAUAUUUUCAUGUGAAUAGGAUUUUCCCCUUUCUUUCCCUAUUAUAUAUAUAUAUAUGUUUUUUUUUUUAAUUUUUCUUUGUUUUUCUCCCUAGUGGGUGUAACUGUAAAGAAUGUUGGCUAGGGUCUUUUGGCUUUGCUUCAUUUUUUUGUUUUUGUUUUUGUUUUUGAGACAAAGUUUCACACUUGUUGCCCAGGCUGGAGUGCAAAUGGCGCAAUCUCAGCUUACUGAAACCUCUGCCUCCAGGGUUCAAGCAAUCCUCCUGCCUCAGCCUCCCAAGUAGGUGGGAUUACAGGUGCCUGCCACUACACCUGACUAAUUUUUUGUAUUUUUAGUAGAGACAGGAUUUCACCAUGUUGGCCAGGCUAGUCUCGAACUCCUGACCUCAGGUGAUCCACCAGCCUGGCCUUGGCUUUGCUUCUAUAGCCCUAUGCACUUCUGUCAGCUGGUUUUAUGUUGGACUGUGUGGUUCUACCUACAGGCCAGUAGAUGGCACUUAUGGGUAAAAGUCAGCUCUGGCCAACGUGAACGGGUAUAUAUUUCAACCUUGUUUACUGGGAGGUCUCUGAUGCUGCAGGCAAUGGGCUGAACUGUUUAGUGCACAGUGGUCUUAGCUCCCUACUCACCACCACAUGAGGGAACCAAGAGAGUAGGGCCUGGACUGGGCAGGCUCACCUACAGCCACUCAAUGGCAGGUACUAGCACCAGCACCUAAUGCGUGGCCACCUAGCGCCCAGAGGUAUGUCUAGGCAUGGAGCUUGGUAACCUGCUUGGCCCUAAGUUCUCUGCAUGGGGAGGGGUGACGGCCCGAACUCCUAAUCCAGUAGAGUGGAUGCACCUGGAGAUCUUCCUGGGCAUGUAGCAUAGGGGGCCGUACUGCACCACAGUCUCUCCACAGAAAGUGUGGGGCAACUCAGGCCACUGACCCAGGCAAGGGGGUACUUCAGAUGCCUGGAGAUAUGCCUAAGCAUGGAGUGGAGAGGGUCCUGUUACAUCACAAUCUAUGCACAGGAGGGGUGGGAGACUCAGGCUGCUGGUCCAUGAUAGGAAGUGCUCUGAUUGUCUGGAGAUCUGCCUGCAUGCGUGGAACAGAAGAGGCCCUGCUACACUCUAAUCUAUGUACGUUAAGGUGAGAUGGCUCAGGCUACUAGUCCAGGAGAGUAGGUGCUCUGAAUACCUGGAGUUCUGCCUGGAUGUGUAGCAGAGAGGGCCCUGCUACACCCUAAUCUAUCCACAGGAAAGGUAGGGUGGCUAAGGUUGCUGAUCCAGGCAACAGGGUGCUCCAUCUGCAUGGAGAUUUGCCUGGGCAUGAAGUGGAGAGAAUCCUGCUACAAGCCAAUUUAUGCACAGGAAAGGUGGGGUGGCUCAGGCUGGUAAUCCAGAAGAGCAGGUGUUCUCAAUGGCCAGAAAUCUGCCAGGGUAUGGAGCAGAGAGGACCCCACUGCAUCCCAGUCUAUGCACAGGAAGGGUGGGGCAGCUCAGCCUACUGAUCCAGGAGAGUGGGUGCUCUGACUGCCUAGGCAUGGAGCAGAGAGGUCUCUGCUGCACCACAAUCUAGGCACAGAGAGGGUGGGAUGACUCAGGAUGCAAAUUCAUGUAAGUGGGUGCUCCAAAUGCCUGGAAAUCUGCCUAGGCAUGGAGCAGAGAGUGUCCCCUGCACCAUGAUCUCAGGUGAGCAGGAUGGAGCUCCCAGCAAGGUCACACACAGGCCAUUUCCAGGUGGCCAAGCUAGGCCUGGCUACAAGUCUCAUUGCUCAAGAGAAACUGUCGCUGUAGCAGCUUCCCUCUCACCCUAGAACUACACACGGGGAGCACAAUUCCAGCACCUACAACUGGGGCACUGUCCACACGCACCAUUCAAUUCUGGCUAUGGAGGCCUCUACUCAGCACCAGAGCAAGCUCUGCAAUCUCUGAUCCAAGACUAUAAUGCCUGCAUGGCCAUGCUGCUGGGUUGUCAAAGAAUUACUGACUUUGUAUGCACCUGGAUUAAAAAUGGCAUCCUGCUCUCCAUCCUGAGUCUGGGAAAAUGCCUGCAGGAAUUCCUGGUAUCUUUUCCUCUCAAUGUCCCCAAGCCUCACCCCAAGCUAGUCCCAAGGCUUGGGAGAAACAAAAUGCUCUUUCUUGUCCUGGGUUGCAUGGAUCCCCAUUGGAAAAGUGACUCACAGAGGGAGGCUCUCUGCCCACCCCCUGUUCUGGGUCUUCACUCACUUUUAUUUACCAAAUGCCUUCCCAGGGGCUGCUUGCCCACCUUCUCCUCCCUGGGGUCUGGGACGUCCUUCACUGUCUUAAUGGGUUCCCGUUUUCCCUUUUGAAUUAAAAUUCAUGCAUUUGAAUUAAAAUGUAUGAUUUUGCUGUUUCCAAGUGGCUAAGACACACUGCAAGCUUCUAAUCCGCUGUCUUGGAAGAAAAAUAAUGCAUUUUCUGAUGACGUAAAUACAAAAGUGCUAAGUUCUUACAUUUAUUAAAUGAGUGUAGAAAUAAGAUCUGGUGGCUGCAUUCACUUUGUCUUCUGACUACCAGUUAAUUCAAUAUUUAAAAUUCAUUCUUUGGUUUUCAUAAAAUUACCUAUUUUUUUUCUUGGCUCAAAACCUAACUAUAUGUCUCUUUCUUUCCAGUCCAGUUUGUCAAAUUUCCUUCCUCUAGCUGUCCAUUAUACAUACUCUGUGAUUCUGCCCUGUGUUUCCUUAUCUUCUCAUCCAAGUUAUUUUUUAAGGCAGUUCUGUUCACUGCCAUGGCCUAACAGCCUCCCAAUAGGCUAGUCUUUCUCAAAUCUUCCUCAAGCCCUAAGACUUCUGCUGAAUUUCAGACCUGGAUAUCUAACUGGCAACCAGCUCUAUCCACCUGGAUGUUUACGUGGGCAUCUCUGGUUCAUCAUGUCUAAAACCAAGCUAUCAUCAACCCUUCAAACAGUUAUCUAUCCAGUCACUCACACCAAAAAACCUUUUAAAAAUCCAAGAUUUCUCUUUCCUACUUAUCUUCCAGUCAGCCAUCAUGCCUAUAUAUUCUUCUUGCCAAAUAUCUUUUGAAUCUGCCCCUCCUUUAGACUCUUAUCACCUAUACCUUACAGUUCAUGUUACCAUCAACUUUUGCCUAUAUUAGUACAAAGCCCUUUCUCUUCUUUUGGUCUUACUCCAUUAUUCCAAAGUAAUCUUUUUAACACCAAAAUCUUAUCUUCAAAAUUCUUUAAAUAAUAAUUCAUUUGCAUGUCAUCUAUACAAGGCCUUUUAUCAUCUAGCUCAUGCCUAGCUUCUGACCUUCUCUUCCUGGUCAUUAUCACCACCUUCCCUCUCCUACCCCCACCUCUUGCAUUUUACACUCUAUUAAAUUUUGAAAUACUUGUUGAUUACCGAAUUCUGCCUUUUUAAAAUAGUACAGACCUUUGCAUGUGCAAUACAAGGGCAUCUCCCCAGUGUGCGUGCUUCACUGCCCUCAGCCAUCCAACCCUCAGCUUAUAUGCUGUCCUCUCUGUGAAGUCUCAUCUGCCUCUCUCAAAUAAACUUUAGUGCUUCUUUUAUUAUUUGUUCAUGGCAAUUUUUAAAUAUUUCGAUUAGAGUUAUUUUACUCUUCCAUUUAAAUUUGUUUGGAUGUAUUUAAUUGUUUUACUAAAAAGUUGUAAGAAUUGCCUAGAAUAGUUCACGUCAGACACAGAGAAUAUUCAACAGAUGUUGGCUGAAUUUAGACCAGCACCUAAACUAGUUCCUUUCAGGUCAUUGGGACUCAAUAUUCACAUUUUAAAGAAAAGAUUUUAGAGUAUUCUCAACUGGGAGCAAUUUUAUUUUUUCAUUUCUUUAGAAUUUCGGAUCAAUGUACUUGUGUGAGCUAUUUUUAAGAUAAAUUUUCUAUGUGAUAAUUGUAUUUGAAUUGAUCAGAAACUGAAAGAUUUGUUUUACAGGGAUUAUUUAAAGCCUGUUGACAUUAGACAAUUCCUGCAUUAAAUUUACUGUAAGCUGUAGGAGUGUUUAUGAUGUAAUUCACUUUUCAUAGUAUUUUACAAAGCACAAUCAUCAUAGACCCAGAGUAGAUUGUUUGUGCUGACUCCUUUAUACAUCUCUGAGCCCAGCUUUUCUUCUGGUAACUCUUUUAGUUGAAAUGGGUAUCCUCUAUGCGUGCCAUUGGCAUAUCUCCUAGAGACAGCUGCAAAGAGUAGCAAAAUCAGGGGGUAUGAUUGUUCUUCCGUGUAUUAUGAAGCAAGCUAGGAAAAUUCUGAAUGCAAAGUCACCAGGAAGAGAUUCUGAACAUGGCAGACCCCAUGUUGUCUUUCCUAAUCCCUAGAAGAAGGAAAAGAGGUAAAAAUAUUAUGAUAAAAUCUGGAUUCAUUUUGCUACUGCCGACAGGGAUGAAUCUGGUGACUCCCACCCAGAGGUGCUUCCUUGAGAAUGGAGAGAUGGAAAAUUGCAAUCACAGACUUUCACAUUAGGAGUAAAAACUUAUAUUAUGAUGGGUGAAAAAACUAUGCCUAACGAAGUACAACUUUUAAGAGCUCAUAAAUCUUGAGCUCAGUCAUAGAUUAUUAAUUUAGAAAAAUAACAACUAUGUAUUCUCAACUGCAAGCUACUCAAUAUUAAUAACAUUAGUGUGUAUUGUAUAUCCAGAUAGAGAAUCACUAAAGGUUUCAAGCUUAGUGGCAAAUGUAUCUUUAAAUAUGCAUUUACUAUGCUCUCUGUAAUAAAAUGAAAAUCAUGGUUUAUUUGAUGGAAAGAGAAUGAUAGUUUGUAGGCUUUCACAAUAAAAUGAGAGAACUUGAAACAGGGAUUCUCAUAAAAUGAGAUUUUUUUCUAAACUGGAAAAUUCUCUAGCCAUAAUGACCUGGGUAGGGAUGGGAGAAAGAGAAUGAAGUGUAACAAGGGCGUAAUUUCAUUUGAAUAAAAGGAAUUGGCGACUUAUGUCAGAGAAGCUAUGUUAGAGAUAUCUAACGGCCAACCAGCUCUGUCCAUGGAUAUCUACCCAGAUGUUGUUACUUCGUAGCAUGGCUCGGGUAUUAGUUCUCUCUGCAUCUGCGUGAGUUGCAGAAAGCUUCAUUUCGCUACUAAAAGGUUUCCUGAUUCCCUUAUCUAUCAGUAAGAGUAAGCCCAAUUCUAAAAAAUGUUUUUAGAAAAUUACUUUCAUCUCUGCAUGGCCUGGAAUUUGCUUGAGGACACCAUGAAUAGUAGGUCAUCACCACUACAUUUCAGGAAAGAGAGCCAAUGUAACUAUUUUUGAACGUCUUUGAGAUAUGGUUUAAAACUAUGCUAUAAAAAGGAACUUGCAAAUCUAAUUAAUAUUUAAUUUUAGUCUCACGAUGCAAAGUAACCUACAUGGACAUUUUAAUGCCAAACUGCCAGAUAGGUUGUAAGAAUAUACUGUACACUCACACCAAUAGUGACUGGAAAUACCUGGUAUAGUAGGCAGAAUAAUGUGCUCCCCGCUGGCCGGCCCCCCACCAAAAAAGAUACUCAUACCCUACUCCCAGGAUCCUGCAAAUAUGUUAAGUUGCAUGGCAAAGGGGGAUUAAGGUUAUACUAGAAUUAGGUUUGCUAAUCAGCUGACUUUAAAAUGGGAGAUUUCCUUAAAUUUCCUUAUCCAGGAGGGCCCAAUAUAAUCACAGGAGUCUUUAAAAGAGGAAGAGGGAAGCAGAAGACAACCAGAGAGAUAGCAGUGUGAGAAGGACUUGGCCCUACAUUGCUGGCUUUAAAGGUAGGAGUGAAGGCCAUAAGCCAGAGACUGUAGGUGACCUCUACAAUCAAUAAAAGGCAAAGAAGCACAUUCUUCCUUAGAGCCUCCAGAAGGAACACAGCCCUGUCAACAACUUGAUUUUAGACUAGUGAGACCCAUUUUGAACUUUUGUCCUCUAGAUCUUUAAAAUAAUAAAGUUCUGUUGUUUUCAGGCA